This is an RNA transcript of Asparagus officinalis (garden asparagus), 2024 nucleotides long. RefSeq lists it as uncharacterized. The record is from RefSeq and is a predicted model, not a curated record. Lineage: Eukaryota; Viridiplantae; Streptophyta; Magnoliopsida; Asparagales; Asparagaceae. The transcript has 10 exons.
GCAAUUAUGUUUUUUCUUCAGGCAACACGUAUUCACGAGUGUGCCAGCUAGAUAUGGAGCCUUACUUAAUGUACCGUUAUGCCGUGAGCUGGCAUACUAACUCUCUUCAAAAUAACAUGUAUUAUCUGCAAAUGCACCCGCUUCCUCCUCUAAAGAGAAGACCAAACAUCUAUAAUCGUAAAAUUAACUUAAAUUUAACAUUAAAUUAUGUGAAUCUAAAUACAUAUUCAGAGAAUAGCUCACUUUAUUACUUUAAAUUUGCAUGUCAACUAUUUUUUACUUAUCUAUACUGCACAUGAACUAUUGUUGAUGAGUCUUUUGCAAGAAAUAUGAUGACCAAGCACAGCUUACUGAAACUGUUGAGAGGAAACGAUAGCUUUCCAUAGAGAAGAUUCUCAUUGUUCUUAAAAGAAUAAUCAAUGAAGAUUGCCUACUACUAUAUUCCAUAAGCAAAGAUGAUCGUCAAAGCCCAUUAUUAUUUUGAGGACAAAAGCACCGCCUAUUGAUACAAAGAAGCCACCGCCUGUUUCAUCUAAGAACCCACCGCCUAUUGAUACAAAGAGAGUUCUUGAGAGAUCAGAUUCAACGGUUCCUCCAAUGUCAGUAGACUUGAAAACAAAGCCAGUUAGUUAUACCCCACAUGUUGGAAGGCCUCCAGCGCUUAAGAAGCCAAAGGCUAAAGACCCUCAUAAGAGGGAUAUGACGUUUGAAGAGAAGCAAAAGCUGAGCAAUAAUUUGCAAAAUCUUCCUCUAGAGAAACUGGAUAAUGUGGUGCAGAUUAUCAAGAAGAGGAACUCAUCACUGAGUCAGCAUGAUGAUGAGAUUGUGGUAGAUAUAGAUAGUGUUGAUACUGAGACUCUUUGGGAGCUGGAUAGGUUUGUUACCAAUUAUAAGAAGAGUCUAAGCAAGAACAAGAGGAAGCCAAAGCUUGGUGAGCUUGCACUUCAGUAAAGGUCGGACAAUCAGCAACAUGAAGGGCAAGAAAUGGUACAGGAAAGGAAUUCUGAUGCUGUAGUUGCAGAAGUGCCAACAGAGAGCAAGACAUUGGUUGAUGAAAAGCAAACGGCUUCCUCUCCACUACAAGCAGGUGAAAAGAAGGGAGAUAAUGCAAGUAGGUCAAGUAGUUCGAGCAGCUCGGGAGAUUCCAUGUUUUGCUCAAAUAUGUGCCUUGUAUCAGUUUCAGAACUGAUAAGGAAGCUUUCAAGAUUUUUAUUGGGAUUUUGUGAGGGAUGAAGAUAUCAUUAUCGUCUUGUAUGAUGUAGCAAUGGAACUUAUUGAAGAAGAGCUUGGUCAGCCUUGGCAUAAGAUUUAUUCUGAGCUUACUCCUUCACCAAUUGCUGCUGCAUCCUUGGGACAAGUGUACAAUGGUAGGCUAAAAGAGAAUGGUGAUUUGGUAGCUAUUAAAGUACAAAGACCAUUUGUUCUUGAGACCGUGACAAUAGAUCUAUUUAUUAUCAGGAAACUGGGAUUAAUAUUGCGAAGGUUCCCACAGGUAAUUUAUCAUUUGCUUAUUCUGAACGUUUGAAGCUGCACGUUCAUUACUAUAACUUGGAUUGAUUCAAACGUUACAGAUUUCCAUAGAUGUUGUUGGGUUAGUACAUGAAUGGGCUGCCCGCUUUUUCGAGGAGCUUAAUUAUGUGAAUGAAGUAAAAAAUGUAAUUAUCUUUGCAAAAAUGAUGAAGAAAUACCUUCCGCAGGGGUUCUUCUAUGAGGAGAGGUGCCCAAUCUAAAGGAUGCAUCGAUUCAGCUAUGCACUCACAUUGCCAGGGAUUGGUUUUACAGUGAAGAUAAGGAACAUAGCAAUAAAGUGAUUGUUCCAGGAUUGUCUAACUGUGGACAACUUUGGUGAUCAAUUGCUUGCGGUUUUUACGUUUUGUUUUUGCAUGUAACAUGUGCCUUAUCUUCCCAGUGAACUUUUGACUUGGAAAAUUCUUUCAUGCUUCUCUUUUCAUUCCUUUACCCAAUGAACUAAUGUGAUGUUGAAUAUUAGUUAUUUGCAUCUAAGAUCAACUAACUUUUUUCUU